This 205-nucleotide ribosomal RNA is filed under the name Escherichia coli. Its description in RNAcentral is "partial 23S ribosomal RNA". It matches the Rfam family "Bacterial large subunit ribosomal RNA", at positions 1 to 200 of the family's 2925-position model. The record is from RNAcentral. Lineage: Bacteria; Pseudomonadati; Pseudomonadota; Gammaproteobacteria; Enterobacterales; Enterobacteriaceae.
UUAUGAGGUUAAGCGACUAAGCGUACACGGUGGAUGCCCUGGCAGUCAGAGGCGAUGAAGGACGUGCUAAUCUGCGAUAAGCGUCGGUAAGGUGAUAUGAACCGUUAUAACCGGCGAUUUCCGAAUGGGGAAACCCAGUGUGUUUCGACACACUAUCAUUAACUGAAUCCAUAGGUUAAUGAGGCGAACCGGGGGAACUGAAACA